UAUUUGGUGCCGAUGAGGCUCAAUAGGGAAUCGGGUGGAAGUCCCGGACAGUUCCCGCUGCUGUAAGCUCUUAACGCUUGUCACUAUGCCACUGAUAAUCAAGGGAUUUCGGGAAGGCGGCAAGAAUCAGGGAGUAAGUCAGAAGACCUGCCAGAUGUCGUA
RNAcentral lists this non-coding RNA (162 nucleotides) under bovine gut metagenome. The record is from RNAcentral.